GACGAACGCUGGCGGCGUGCUUAACACAUGCAAGUCGAACGGAAAGGCCCUGCUUUUGUGGGGUGCUCGAGUGGCGAACGGGUGAGUAACACGUGAGUAACCUGCCCUUGACUUUGGGAUAACUUCAGGAAACUGGGGCUAAUACCGGAUAGGAGCUCCUGCUGCAUGGUGGGGGUUGGAAAGUUUCGGCGGUUGGGGAUGGACUCGCGGCUUAUCAGCUUGUUGGUGGGGUAGUGGCUUACCAAGGCUUUGACGGGUAGCCGGCCUGAGAGGGUGACCGGCCACAUUGGGACUGAGAUACGGCCCAGACUCCUCCGGGGGGCAGCGGGGGGGAAUAUUGCACAAGGGGCGGAAGCCGGAUGCAGCAACGCCGGGGGGGGGAUGCCGGCCUUGGGGUUGUAAACCGCUUUCGCCGGUGACGAAGCGUGGGUGACGGUAAUGGGUAAAGAAGCACCGGCUAAUUACGU
Molecule: ribosomal RNA, 467 nt
Filed under: uncultured bacterium
Lineage: Bacteria
Description: partial 16S ribosomal RNA
Rfam family: Bacterial small subunit ribosomal RNA
Source: RNAcentral